Long non-coding RNA from Fundulus heteroclitus (mummichog), 250 nucleotides. RefSeq lists it as uncharacterized. The record is from RefSeq and is a predicted model, not a curated record. The transcript is spliced from 3 exons. Lineage: Eukaryota; Metazoa; Chordata; Actinopteri; Cyprinodontiformes; Fundulidae.
AUGAGGUCCACUGACUGCAGACAUGAGGAAGACAGAAACGGGAGCCAUUGCAGCAGCAGCAGCAGAACCAGCAGAGCUGAGGGUGGAGGUGACGAUGAAGCAGAGGCGCGAAAUAAAGAGUUGCAGAGUGAAGCCGAGAAAACUCGUCCUCCUGCUGCAACAACUAGGAAGAAGCAUGCACAGCCAACUCUACCACUUGUUUGAUAAGCAGAGAAAAUAUGACCCCAAGUCACCAGAAGCUGUGAAACUA